This is an RNA transcript of Nymphaea colorata (pocket water lily), 3707 nucleotides long. It is a transcript of the gene named protein S-acyltransferase 21-like, with no coding region annotated. The record is from RefSeq and is a predicted model, not a curated record. The transcript is spliced from 12 exons. Lineage: Eukaryota; Viridiplantae; Streptophyta; Magnoliopsida; Nymphaeales; Nymphaeaceae.
UCUCUUCAGAGAGAGAAAGAGGGAGAGGUUUUUUCUUUGGGGGGGUUUAGUUGUGUUGGGGUUGAAAACAUUAUGUCAUGGUGGUGAUGGCUGCAGCCACAACUUGCCCAAGUUCGUAUUCUCUCAGAUUUUUAAUUAGUAAACUAGUCACUAGCCCUUAUCAACCCUUCUUCUUCCUUUUAAUGUGUUGACAAAAAGAAGGAACAGGUAGUUUUGUGACCUUUUUGUUUCUCUCGUUUUCAUUUAUUUCUUGGGUUUUAUGUGAGGGGGAGAGAGGGAGAGAGAUCACCAUGGUUUUUGGGGUUCACACAAAUUUCAGAGGCUCGUGUUGCGAGGUGUGAAGCGUGUAGUGUUUUUUUCUUCAUUUUUUCUCCUCCAGGACUCUAGUUUGACGUGCUUCGCCUCUGCGGAAGAGAAUCACGAAGAGAAACUUGUCUGUGUUUUUGAGAUCUCAAACUAGGGCGGGAGACCAGACCAGGAUGAAAGGAAGGUUGAAGGAGCGAGAGUUAGAGAAAGAAAGAGGGGUUUUUGUUUAGUUUGUGGUGCUUUUUGUUAGUUGCCGACAGAGGCCUUGGCGAUCAUGGCGAGGCGGCAUGGAUGGCAGCUCCCUGCUCACACAUUUCAGGUGGUAGCUAUUACCGUGUUCUUCUUACUGGUUGUUGCAUUCUAUGCCUUUUUCGCACCAUUUCUUGGCAAAAAUGUGUUUGAGUACGUGGCUAUGGGAGUUUAUACUCCAGUGGCCCUCUUGGUUUUCAUAUUGUAUGUUCGAUGCACAGCUAUUGAUCCUGCAGAUCCAGGCAUCCUGAUCAGCCCUGAGGAACGAUUGGCUGGUAAAAAGGCUCCAGGAGAACCUGCAGAGAUAGAGUUAAUGCACACAGGAAAUCCUGCUAAGAAGAAAUUUGAUUGUUGUUCUUGCAUUGGAGGUUUUCUUUGUGGGUGGCUGGUUAAGGAGGACUGCCGGAAAGAUGAAGACAUUGAUCAGCAAGAAGCCAAUGAAGAAGAUGCUCUAUUCUGCACAUUGUGCAAUGCAGAGGUGCGAAAGUUCAGCAAGCAUUGCAGAAGUUGUGACAAAUGUGUGGAUGGUUUUGAUCACCAUUGCCGUUGGCUGAAUAAUUGUGUCGGGAGGAAAAACUAUAUUACCUUUAUUUCCUUGAUGGCUAGCAGUCUUAUUUGGCUCAUGGUGGAGUCUGGAAUUGGUAUUGCGGUCCUUGUCCGAUGUUUCGUUGACAAAAAAGAAACCGAGAACCAAAUAAUUGAUAGGCUUGGUAAUGGGUUUUCUCGGGCUCCGUUUGCGAUAGUUGUGGCAUUGUGUACGGCUGUGUCCUUGCUUGCUUCCAUACCUCUGGGAGAAUUGUUCUUUUUUCAUAUGAUACUGAUUCGAAAGGGUAUCACCACUUAUGAAUAUGUGGUUGCAAUGAGGACACAAAGUGAGCCACCUGGUCCCUCUGUAGAUGGAGAUCAGCAAAGUGUACCACCUUCACCAACUAGUUCUGCUGCCACUGGCUUAAGUGGAGGAAGUUCUCUAGGUCUAGGGUUGCAAUACAAGGGGGUUGCUUGGUGUACGCCACCGAGAAUAUUUGUUGAUCAGGAUGAGAUAAUCCCUCAUUUGGAACCUGGAAGAGUUCCUUCGACGGUUGAUCCAGAUGCUCUUGGGAAUCCAGAUGGUGGGAAAAGAGUGCCUAAACGACAAGUUAGAAUCAGUGCAUGGAAAUUAGCUAAAUUGGACUCCAAUGAGGCCAUGAAGGCAGCUGCCAAAGCUAGAGCUUCAUCUUCUGUGCUUCGACCGAUCAGUGCACGACAGAAUGCUGAUUCAGGAUACUGUUCUAGUGAAAAUGCAAGCAGUAUCAGUGUCGAACUUGGUCCUCCUAAGGAUGCCCGAAGCCAUAGGUUAUCUUUGAAGAAUUCAUACCCGCCAAGUCGGGCUAGCAGGGAUGACAUUGAAGCUGGAACUCGAAGUGUCAGCAGUGUAAGCAGUCCUGCCCAUACAAAUGGAUCAGCGGCUCUCAGUCCGUUGCCUACUGCCUCUCCUGAUGCUGGGAAGAUGCCGUUCACUGUGGGUAAAUUGAUGACAAACAGGGAACACUUUAACCCAAUUUAUCAGCCAUCUGCUGGUCGAUCACCAUGGUCAGCUAAGGCUGGUGAUGCCGGUGAAAAUAUUCUAAGUCAUGCUCUUGAUGAAAAAUUGGUGAAAAAGAACAGAGGAAAUAUCAGAGAGAACCAAAGGCCUUCUGUCUUCUGGGAUCAAGCAGCAGGUCGCUAUGUUUCAGUGCUUCCAUCUGGUGGAGAUUCCCGUCCUUUUGGAAACAGAGCCAGCUCUUCUCACAUUAUGGAACCCGAGAUUUCUACUGCUGCAGCAGUUUUUCAGCCGGAGCCACCAAAGCGUGCUCCUUACAAGCCUGCAGCCAUGGGGGAACAACCAAAGGCCCUUUCAGGGACAUCAACACAGACAGAGAACCUAGUUUGUACAGAGCAGUCUAUCUUCUUUGGUGGUCCUUUGUUAGUGGCAGAUGGAACAGAAAGUGCUAGGUUCCGUGCUUCAUCAAGGCCUACACAAGAAAGUGCAUCAAGCUCAUGGAUUCCAGAGGGAAGAGCAGGGAAGGGCAAAGGGUCUGAUCAAUUUCCUGUUUUUGUCCCAAAGGAUUCUGAAGCAUCCCAUUCCGGCUUGCCUUGAAACCUUUGAUGUUUUGUUGAUGAUGUGUGUCCCUGGAAGCAAAGAUGACGAGGAAAUGGCUUUCCUGUUGAUUGACAGGGAUGGUUUUUUAUUGGAUCUGAGCUUUGAGCUUCAAACAGGCUGUGGUGAUCAAAAUUCAGAAUUGAGACAUGUCCGAGUUGCACUCCUGGUUCAGAGUGAAAUUUCUUGUUCCGUAGGUUGAUCUGUUGUUUGCUGCUCCUAUUUGGGAAAUUUAACGUACUUGGAAGAUACAUUCCACGAACUUGGAGCUGCAUUUGGCACGGGGAAUUCAAUCUUGGCAGCUGCCCAUCUUCACAAGUGAUGCACAGAUACUGCGCAGCGCAUGCUUAUGUGGGUUUUCUGCUCAUUCUGGACCUGCCCCUUUUGAGCAGCAAAGCCAGGUGCCAGUACUCCUUCCGUUGCUAAUCUUCUUUCUUUAGUGCAUAUCUGUGAAAUCGACCAUGGAAUGUUGUAGACUGCAGCUGCAACCAUGUACAUUGUAAUGCCUAAUCCGCUGAACUCUUCUAUCUUGUCGUGAUUUUCCUUGGAUCAACAAAGAUGACAAUACUUCUGGCUGAGCAAGAUUAUUACUAAUCACUAGCUGGGAAAGUGUCCAACACUUCUCCCCCUCUUCUUGAACCCCAAGGUCCAAGGUUGAAUCAGUAUCCCUGAGGAGAAAAUGUAUUGGUACUGCACUUCAUUUUAUAUAGCAUAAGAGAGGAGCAUAGUGCUUAUGGGAAUUGAACAAACAAUGCAUCUUUUCUGAGCUGCCAAACCGACCAACUGCAUUAUGCAUCUUGGGGCAAGAAGGCCUAUACCUUGAGCAAUCAAUGGUGCUAAUUUGACGGCAGUAAAUGCUUGAAGGAGAGACUGAUUUGGAGAUUCAAUGAAUGCAUGGGCAUGUUUGGUUUUUUUUCUGAUUAGCUGGCUUGUUCAUGUCUAACUUGAACAACAAAAUGUAGAACACUCCGGAUACUAGCAAGUUGCUUUUGAGGAAGUUGAAUGGGGACAUGCAAACAAGGAAAACAUUUCUCUA